This 460-nucleotide ribosomal RNA is filed under the name uncultured bacterium. RNAcentral describes it as "partial 16S ribosomal RNA". It matches the Rfam family "Bacterial small subunit ribosomal RNA", at positions 338 to 795 of the family's 1533-position model. The record is from RNAcentral.
CCUACGGGAGGCAGCAGUGAGGAAUAUUGGUCAAUGGACGAGAGUCUGACCCAGCCAAGUAGCGUGAAGGAUGACUGCCCUAUGGGUUGUAAACUUCUUUUAUAAAGGAAUAAAACGCGGCACGUGUGCCUUUUUGCAUGUACUUUAUGAAUAAGGAUCGGCUAACUCCGUGCCAGCAGCCGCGGUAAUACGGAGGAUCCGAGCGUUAUCCGGAUUUAUUGGGUUUAAAGGGAGCGUAGAGGGGUUGUUAAGUCAGUUGUGAAAGUUUGGGGCUCAACCUGAGAAUUGCAAUUGAUACUGGCAGUCUUGAGUACAGGUGAGGUAGGCGGAAUUCGUGGUGUAGCGGUGAAAUGCUUAGAUAUCACGAAGAACCCCGAUUGCGAAGGCAGCUUACUAAACUGUGACUGACAUUGAUGCUCGAAAGUGUGGGUAUCAAACAGGAUGAGAUACCCCUGUAGUC